GUACACUCCUGCGGGAGGCAGCAGUGGGGAAUUUUGGACAAUGGGCGAAAGCCUGAUCCAGCCAUGCCGCGUGCAGGAUGAAGGCCUUCGGGUUGUAAACUGCUUUUGUACGGAACGAAACGGCCUUUUCUAAUAAAGAGGGCUAAUGACGGUACCGUAAGAAUAAGCACCGGCUAACUACGUGCCAGCAGCCGCGGUAAUACGUAGGGUGCAAGCGUUAAUCGGAAUUACUGGGCGUAAAGCGUGCGCAGGCGGUUAUGUAAGACAGUUGUGAAAUCCCCGGGCUCAACCUGGGAACUGCAUCUGUGACUGCAUAGCUAGAGUACGGUAGAGGGGGAUGGAAUUCCGCGUGUAGCAGUGAAAUGCGUAGAUAUGCGGAGGAACACCGAUGGCGAAGGCAAUCCCCUGGACCUGUACUGACGCUCAUGCACGAAAGCGUGGGGAGCAAACAGGAUUAGAUACCCCGGUAGUCCCAUG
This 477-nucleotide ribosomal RNA is filed under the name uncultured organism. RNAcentral's name for it is "partial 16S ribosomal RNA". It matches the Rfam family "Bacterial small subunit ribosomal RNA", at positions 331 to 799 of the family's 1533-position model. The record is from RNAcentral.